Molecule: long non-coding RNA, 475 nt
Organism: Drosophila guanche
Lineage: Eukaryota; Metazoa; Arthropoda; Insecta; Diptera; Drosophilidae
Exons: 3
Source: RefSeq, a predicted model, not a curated record
GAGUCUCAGCGCUAAAAAUAUAAUUUUAUCCAAUUUAUCAAUCGAUUCUCCGCAAGAGUAGAUAGUUUUCACGAAAUCUUUUUUUUUUAAUCUUUCCAAAUUAAGUUUAAAACUAAAAAGGUCAUCGAUCAAAAAAAGCAUAAAACGUUACGUGAGUGGGAACGGAAUGCAACGUCAUUUGACAAUUUGUUGCUUGUCAACAGGUAGAUAUAUUCUCGGUGUGUGCAUAAUUCUGUUCAGAUGGAGCCAGAGAUAUCCAACAUUUCUUAAAUUCGAGGAUAUUCACCCCUCCAAGGGUACUAAAUGUUGCUUUGUCUGUGCCAAAUGUUGAGGAACAAUGCUGGGAUCUUUCUGGUCCAUACAAAUUAUGUUGCCAAAGAAAAUCGAUAGAAGAUGCGGAUCGCACAGUCUCUUGCAGCUCUCAAAUACUCAGAUGGCCGAUAACACACACAUGUAUACAUACAAAAUGUAAAUA